This 359-nucleotide long non-coding RNA is filed under the name Elaeis guineensis (African oil palm). RNAcentral describes it as "long non-coding RNA (EGUI_LNC064177)". Lineage: Eukaryota; Viridiplantae; Streptophyta; Magnoliopsida; Arecales; Arecaceae. The record is from RNAcentral.
UGCCCUGGACCGACUUGUCUCUAAUCCUUCUCAUGACUUGGUAAAGUUAGUGGGAGGAUCUACGAUAUGUCGAUUGAAUCCACUAGUCACUAGUCCUUUUUAUGACUUGGUGAAGUCAGUGGAAGGAUUUAUGACUUUAGGUCGACUAAUAUUUUAUAAAAUAAAUUAACCAAAUUUUUUAAAUUAUUAGGUCUAUAAAAUGAGUUAGUUAUGGGAAUAACUAGAUCAUAGCCUUUCAUUAAGGUGCGUGAUAAUGAGUCUAAUAUUCUAAAUAGGCAUUGGAGAUGCCACACACCUGGUGUCUAUUACGUAUUGAAAUUAUCAUCUAUUAUAUGACUAUUUUAUUAUACCUUCAGAUC